AAUGACUUCCAGCUGGAGCAGCCCAGGCAGCCUGCGCGCUCACUCGCUUGCUUGCGCUGGGCUUCAGAGCGCUGGGAAUUUGCACUCUUCGUCUGUUAAAACGCGGUCAUUCUUUUGCUUUCAAAUCUAACUUUACGACAGUUAGCAACUUCAAGAACGCUUCCAAAUGGAUAAAUCUUUCCAGAACAUUUCUUGCUUCAAAACAGCUGCAUUUUUGGAAGAAAGUCCACAACUGACAACUAAGUAAAACCCUCCUGGUGGAUAGCAUAAAUCUGCUUUGUUGAAGCUGCUCAUUUGUCUGAUCUAUGAGUCUAGAAGAUGCAAACUCCCUUCUCAGCUUAUGCAAAAAUACUUCCAGUAAAAACAAGCCCUUUGGCCCCUUUCUUCUGUCAGUCCAGAUUUCAGCAUGUUCUUCGCUUUGUUAUUCAUAAUUUUAUGUAUUUGGACCCAUCCUCAAACAGACUUUAAACCCUUUAAAGGCAAGGAGGGACUCUUUCCUAAACCUUUAAUCCCCUGGCCCAGCUGAGUAGAUGCACAGUGUCUUAUGAUGAUGGUGAUACAGAAUGAUUAAUAACCACACAAGGCAUUCGGUUGGUCAAGUCACUGUUUAUUGGCUCAAAAUAAUCCUUGGCUUCUAUAUGUCUACAACUCACUUCCUAAACAGUUAAAUCCAGAGUCUAAUAGAUAAUAGUUCGUGAUCAUUAAUAUAAAUAACUAAUAUAUUAGAAUGUAGUCAAAAUAGGAAUACUUGCUUUUCACAUAUUUCCCAAGGGUCGCUGCUGGUGGUAGUCAACACAAUAAAAUAAAAAUCUGAACUCAUUUUGUUAUUCAUCUAAAUUGAGAAACUCGGUGAAACAUUGAUUUUCUAAAAUUGCUGCAUACUUAAAUGUGAUUGUAAUUGCUCUUUAGCAUUUUAAAAUUAUAACAUCGAUACCAAAUGCUUAAGAAUCUAAAGAAUAGUCUAUUGGGGCUGGCCUUUUUUGUGUAAAAUGGUCUGUAUCAUAAUGGAUGACUGAUUAUCCCAUCCACAUUAUCUGGAUUCACUUAAUACUAGGUUUUAACAUUAGGAGAAUAAAACUCUCAAGAAACCUAACAUAGAUUUGUAUAUUUAGUUUUCUCCUUCCUUAUCAUCUUCCACCAGACUUACAGGUGUUCCACCUGCUUGUAGUUUCGGUAAUAAUACCAGCUGCCUGUGGUUCCUAACUCUAGCUACACUUUAAAAUUACCUCGUGCGUUUAAAAAAAAAUGCAGUUGGCUAGGUUUGCGUUUAAAAAAAAAUGCAGUUGGCUAGGUUCCUCCCCUAGAUAUUUUAAUUUACAAGGUUUGGGAUGUGGCCUGGGCACCGAUUUUUUUAACUUUUUAUUUGAAUAUAGACUUACAGGAAGUUGCAAAGAUAGUACAGAGAGGUCUCAUAGAGCCUCCACUUUGCCUCCACUAUUGGUUACAUUCCGCAUAGGUAGAGCACAAUAAUAAAGCCAGGACAUUGACACUGAGAUAAAAUGUGCCUGUGAUUCUGUUACUUUAUCCCUGAAGACUCUUGUAAUCAUUAUCACAACCAAAAUCAAUACCACAAACUAUUUCAACACCACAAAGAUCUCUCUCAUACAGUCCCUUUAUGGUCGUCCCUUUCUUUCCCCCACACCAUCCCUAACCCUUGGCAACCAUUAGUCUGUUCUCUAUUUCUAUAAUUUUGUCGUUUGGGGAAUGUUUUAUAAAUUGAUCCUUACAGCUUGUGACCUUCUAAGAUUAGCUCCCCCUUCCACCCAACUCAGCAGAAUGCCCUUGAGAUUUAUCCAAGUUAUUGCAGGUAUUUCUAGUUUGUUCCUUUCUGUUACUGAGUUCUACACUAUGUGUGUAACACAGUUUGUUUAAUCAUUCAGCAUUCACCUAUCAUGUGACAUUUUGGUUCCUUCUGGUUUUUUUUGGGGGGGGGGGGAGGCUAUUACAAAUAAAACUGCUUUGAAAAAUUG
This 1970-nucleotide non-coding RNA is filed under the name Pongo abelii (Sumatran orangutan). The record is from RNAcentral. Lineage: Eukaryota; Metazoa; Chordata; Mammalia; Primates; Hominidae.